RNAcentral lists this non-coding RNA (30 nucleotides) under Mus musculus (house mouse). Lineage: Eukaryota; Metazoa; Chordata; Mammalia; Rodentia; Muridae. The record is from RNAcentral.
UCAGUUUGUAGAAUGCUUGCAUAGCAUAAA